CGGCCCCUACUCUGUUCCUGGGGAUUCACCCUUCCCACCAGAGCACCACCAGGAGGCCAAUGAGGCAAUAAUCAAUCAUGAAGAUUUUACUGAACCCCACUCCUCUUGCCAUUUUCCACCCUCUCACACCCUUCUUACCAGGAGAAGAAAUAAGUGUGGCAAACAGAGUUAAACUUAAGGACUCUGAAAGGUCAUGAAGAUGCCCUGAAGUUCUUCAAGUCACGUUUGAGCCCUUCGGGUCUUUCCAGCUGCAGGUCCUAAGUGGGUGAAGAGCAAUGACUGCUUUUUGGAGGCUGACGAGAAUACAUCUAAGAUGUAAUAAUGGAAGCUGUGUGAAGCUCUUAAUUUUCCCUCUUCCUCUGGAAACAGGCCGCAUCUCUUACCACAGUGAAUUGACGGGCUGGGAAUGAACAGCUCAAUUAACAACUCCAACUUCCACUGGGAGAUCAGUAACUUUUCAAAGAAUCUUUGUUCACUGUCUUCCCCCCUCCCCUCACCCCCCUCAGCCCUUUGGCUACACAGGCAAAAAUUAAAAUUCAUUUUUACCUUC
Leopardus geoffroyi (Geoffroy's cat) is the source of this 550-nucleotide long non-coding RNA. RefSeq lists it as uncharacterized. The record is from RefSeq and is a predicted model, not a curated record. Lineage: Eukaryota; Metazoa; Chordata; Mammalia; Carnivora; Felidae. The transcript is spliced from 3 exons.